Salmo salar (Atlantic salmon) is the source of this 55-nucleotide non-coding RNA. NCBI's taxonomy places the organism in Eukaryota, Metazoa, Chordata, Actinopteri, Salmoniformes, Salmonidae. The record is from Rfam.
AGUGCACCAAUUUGUAAGUCGCUCUGGAUAAGAGCGGCUGCUUAAAUGACGUAAA